GGGGAAUUUUCCGCAAUGGGCGAAAGCCUGACGGAGCAACGCCGCGUGAGGGACGAAGGCCUCUGGGCUGUAAACCUCUUUUCUCAAGGAAGAAGAUAUGACGGUACUUGAGGAAUAAGCCACGGCUAAUUCCGUGCCAGCAGCCGCGGUAAUACGGGAGUGGCAAGCGUUAUCCGGAAUUAUUGGGCGUAAAGCGUCCGCAGGCGGCUUUUCAAGUCUGCUGUUAAAGCGUGGAGCUUAACUCCAUCAUGGCAGUGGAAACUGAAAGGCUUGAGUAUGGUAGGGGCAGAGGGAAUUCCCGGUGUAGCGGUGAAAUGCGUAGAUAUCGGGAAGAACACCAGUGGCGAAGGCGCUCUGCUGGGCCAUUACUGACGCUCAUGGACGAAAGCCAGGGGAGCGAAAGGGAUUAGAUACCCCUGUAGUC
This 424-nucleotide ribosomal RNA is filed under the name uncultured cyanobacterium. Its description in RNAcentral is "bacterial SSU rRNA". It matches the Rfam family "Bacterial small subunit ribosomal RNA", at positions 356 to 795 of the family's 1533-position model. Lineage: Bacteria; Bacillati; Cyanobacteriota. The record is from RNAcentral.